Oryzias melastigma (Indian medaka) is the source of this 2248-nucleotide long non-coding RNA. RefSeq lists it as uncharacterized. The transcript is spliced from 4 exons. The record is from RefSeq and is a predicted model, not a curated record. Lineage: Eukaryota; Metazoa; Chordata; Actinopteri; Beloniformes; Adrianichthyidae.
AGCCAGACUUGCACCUGCACUUGUAGGAACCAUGAGUGUUCAGACAGACGGCGUGCCGGCUGCACUUGUGGGUACUGGCCGCACACUCAUCUAGAUCUGGAAGAGGAAGAGGAAGGAGUCUGCUUUCACAAUCAAAGUUGCAGGCCUGCAGACGGACAGAGGCAGCAGAUCUCCCCUUCUACUUCCUCACAGCCGUACUGACACCAUAGCAACACUCGAGUCUCCUGCCGUAUCGACACACUCCGGAUUGGCUUCCAGGAAGGGCUUGUCGGUGGUGUCUUUGCAAAAAAUGUCAACGUUAGAGGGUGUCUCUGCUGUCUUGUCCUAUGAAAAGACUGACACUGACGGAUCACAUCCUGAACUAAAGUGACUCAAAAGACUACUUUUUUAUAAGACAUCUUCAAGCUUUUUUCUUCUAAAUAACUCAGUUCUCUGUGAGUGAACAUGGGCUGAAAAGGUUUUUUCACCCAGACUGCCUGAAGAUUGUGGUGCAUCAAGCAAAUGUCUUUACUAUAAAAGGGAGAUGAGGCUGUUUAAGAGUUAUUUUGAAAGUGAUGUACGUGCACAACCACAUCCUGCCCUCAAAGGCAGAUGCAACCAUGAGCAGAUUGCAGACACCGCUGACUGCUUUGGCAAUCGGCCACAGUUCAUCACAGAAUGUUGUGAUCAACUUGGUCAUUUUAGAGAUUUAAUGUAACAUUCACUGUUAGAAAAUGGCUCGGUUCAGCUUCGAAAGGCCGUGCAUCCCUUCAAGAUCCGCUUAAUCGGCUUGUUUUGCAAAAGUGUCACACAAUGCACCUUUUGUUUUAAGUGUACUUGGAAGUUUGUGAUGGUUUCAGGAAGGAGAGCUGUCAGUUCCUCUUGCAAAAACAGAAGUGACUGUGACACAAAGAGCAGCCAGUGGCACCGACACAUUUACAUUAGACUGUUGUUGUUAAUAUUCAUUUAUUACUGAACCGAGAAGGCCUUUUCUUUAAAGAUUUAAGGGUCUAGAUUUUUAUAUAAAAAGAAAAAGGCAAGAUUUGGACUGGUUUUGUCUUCUCACAAUGAUAAGUCGAGAGCCGUUAUAUCAGUGCUGUGAUGGCGGUUUGAUGGGAAGCUCUCAGACAAUGAAGAAGGUUACUGUAGUUAUUCAUUAUACAUUUAUGAGAUUUCAAACAAUGCACUGCAAUAUUCAGUUUGAUAUGAAAGCAUCCCUGGACAUGUUUACGACUAUACACCAGAUAGUUUUUUUUGUUUUUUAAAUAUAGGAUUUAAAAUUCUGAUUUUAUUGCUUGUUACUCUGACCAGGAAAUUCUCUUUUGCUCCGGCCGCCUUGUGACUCAAAAUUGUUAUUUUGCCAGUAAUGCUGCUCUCCUAAUGCUCAUGUACGCUCUCAUCUUUAUUCACUUCUUGUUCGAUGGGGCUCGAUUGAGCUUUGCCCAACAGUAGCACAGAUAGGCUCCAGCAACCCCAAUACACCAAAAAGGAUUCACUAAUAUGUCAGCAUUCCUAGGUUUUCUAAAGCAUCUGUUGUGUUCAAUGUUUCUCAAUGAUCUGUUUGUUAUUUGAUCCAUCUGUUAAUGUAAAUAUUAAGCUUCUUGUUAGGGAUUUGGUUUCUAGUCCAUUCUCCCCUUCACUGAUGUUUUUUUUCUCUUUUUUUUAAAGCGGUUUAGUUUUACACAUGUGCUUCUAAAGAAUCUCGAUCCCAUUGUGGUCGAUCAUGCAAACGGCACGUUUAACAGAAUGAGACGUUUCCCUUUCUGCUCUGUUUCAGCAUUAAAAACAUUGCAGUUCUUGCUCCACCGCAGGGAUAAAGCCUCCUAAUUUCAGCUUUGCAGUGAUGUUAUUGCAUACCUGUUUUGUUAUCACCAAAAGCCAAUGAAAAUGAAAACAACAACGUUUCAUAUCCUGUUUUUUAGCUAGGGUUAAAGUACAGUUCCCACUGCAAGGAGGAGGCAUCUAAUCUAAGGAUAAUAAAUACCCAGACCUAGCAUUUAAAGUUUAAAGUGGCUGCAAAGAAAUUUGAUGUGAAUGUAUAUUAUGAGUUUAUGUAUGAGCUGCCAUGCAUUGCAGAAAAGUAGAAGCAGCUAAAGGAAGUGAUAAAAGGUCAUAAAUAGCAGAAGUCGGAAGUUCUGCUUCCUGCACAAUCCUAGAUAUGUAUUUUAUAGGAUUGUGUCAUGACAGUCUUCAUAAACUGCUCUAAAUUUAUUCCAAACAUUUUCUCCUCAAAAAGCAGAGUAUGUGUUUUGUAAGUCCUGUUGAGACA